This 76-nucleotide transfer RNA is filed under the name Staphylococcus aureus. RNAcentral's name for it is "tRNA-Cys". It matches the Rfam family "tRNA". From Rfam's summary of the family: Transfer RNA (tRNA) molecules are approximately 80 nucleotides in length. Their secondary structure includes four short double-helical elements and three loops (D, anti-codon, and T loops). The record is from RNAcentral. Lineage: Bacteria; Bacillati; Bacillota; Bacilli; Caryophanales; Staphylococcaceae.
GCCGGCCUAGCUCAAUUGGUAGAGCAACUGAUUACAAAUCAGUAGGUUGGGGGUUCAAGUCCUCUGGCCGGCACCA